AUGCCUGAAGGGGCAGGUGCAAUGCUGACACCCCCCCCCCCGAGCCAGGGCCAAAGCUGGGGUGAGCUGGGCGCCCCCAGGGAGGGACAGCAGCGAGGAGGACCAAGGCCAGACUCUCAGGGGGCCUUGCCCUCGCCCCAGGCCGCACUCACCUUCUUGGGGGACCUCCAAGGACAAAAUUCUGGUUCAGGGAGCAGGACCCCGGGGCUGAAGAGCAGAAGGUCGGGGGCCGAGGGCAGGGCGGGUCCGGAGGCUGGGGUCAGAGAGAGAUGGGGAGGCUGGAGCAGCCAGCCAGGCAGGGAGGGGAGGGGCCCGAGAAAGGCAGGGACCCUGUGCCCCUUGGUCGCCGAGGGGUGUGGCAGCCCGGGGGGGGCACAGGUUCCAGGCACCCCUGGUUCCCGGAGAGGGGGAGAAGCUGAGAGCCACGUCCCAGGCGCUCGUGGGGUCUGGGGCUCCUGUGUUCUCAGAAGGAACAGCAUCUGGGCUCAUGCAUCUUGGGGGGGGGCAGGGAGACAGGAAGCAGGGCCCCCCGGGGGCUGCUGGGCCGCUGGGCCAGUGGGAAGGGGCGGAGUGGGCUCUCUGUGUGUCCCGGCCGCCAUCCCCUCCCUCCCAGGGCCCACACUCACUCGGGUCCUGAUUCCGUCGGCGGAUCCGCAGCUGCAGGACUGUGGCGGGAGGGGGGAGGAGGAAGGCGGGAAGGGAGUGUCCGGGAGCCUGGCCUGGAGUUGUUGGCGGGACACUGGUGCCCGGCCCCCUCGCGCACACCCUGCGGGCGGGUGGGCGGGCCUCCCCAGAGCUCCCUGCCAGCACGGAGCCGCGGUGGGGCCAGGCGCCAGCCCGCGAGCGUGCACGCAGCAGGCAGCCCUGCCCCCAGCUCCACCUGCCCCCCUCAUGCCCGUGCCCACCCCGCCCCGCCACGAUCGCCAUCUUGGCGGACCGGCCCUUCCGAACCUCACCUCCCGGUGUCCGUGUGCCCGGCGUGGCACACACCUGCUCCCCUCCCACAGUCAGCCCCUUCUGCACACUCACCCUUCACACGCGCAUCUCCUGGACUCUGCGUUUGCACACGUGCUACUUUUACACAGUUGCACCCUUUCCCACACUCGUCACCCUUGGCUCGCUCUGCCUUGGGACCCACCCAGCAUCGACACUCGGCCCUCUGCUCUAGCCUGCACAUGUGCCUUUUUUGCACACUCGCUCGGUUUCCAGCGUCUGCACCCACCCAACCAUAUAUGCAAGCACUCAUUUGCACACUCAGGGCUCCUUCGCCUGCCCAGGAAUUGA
This 1284-nucleotide long non-coding RNA is filed under the name Oryctolagus cuniculus (rabbit). Its description in RNAcentral is "lncRNA (ENSOCUG00000034450.1)". The record is from RNAcentral. Lineage: Eukaryota; Metazoa; Chordata; Mammalia; Lagomorpha; Leporidae.